CCUACGGGAGGCUGCAGUGAGGAAUAUUGGUCAAUGGGCGCGAGCCUGAACCAGCCAAGUAGCGUGAAGGAUGACUGCCCUACGGGUUGUAAACUUCUUUUAUAAAGGAAUAAAGUGAGGCACGUGUGCCUUUUUGUAUGUACUUUAUGAAUAAGGAUCGGCUAACUCCGUGCCAGCAGCAGCGGUAAUACGGAGGAUACGAGCGUUAUCCGGAUUUAUUGGGUUUAAAGGGAGCGUAGAUGGGUUGUUAAGUCAGUUGUGAAAGUUUGCGGCUCAACCGUAAAAUUGCAUUUGAUACUGGCUGUCUUGAGUACAGUUGAGGUAGGCGGAAUUCGUGGUGUAGCGGUGAAAUGCUUAGAUAUCACGAAGAACUCCGAUUGCGAAGGCAGCUUACUAAACUGCCACUGACAUUGAUGCUCGAAAGUGUGGGUAUCAAACAGGAUUAGAUACCCCUGUAGUC
This 460-nucleotide ribosomal RNA is filed under the name uncultured bacterium. Its description in RNAcentral is "partial 16S ribosomal RNA". It matches the Rfam family "Bacterial small subunit ribosomal RNA", at positions 338 to 795 of the family's 1533-position model. The record is from RNAcentral.